GGGUUGUGAGGUUAAGCGACUAAGCGUACACGGUGGAUGCCCUGGCAGUCAGAGGCGAUGAAGGACGUGCUAAUCUGCGAUAAGCGCCGGUAAGGUGAUAUGAACCGUUAUAACCGGCGAUUUCCGAAUGGGGAAACCCAGUGUGAUUCGUCACACUAUCAUUAACUGAAUCCAUAGGUUAAUGAGGCGAACCGGGGGAACUGAAACAUCUAAGUACCCCGAGGAAAAGAAAUCAACCGAGAUUCCCCCAGUAGCGGCGAGCGAACGGGGAGGAGCCCAGAGCCUGAAUCAGCAUGUGUGUUAGUGGAAGCGUCUGGAAAGGCGCGCGAUACAGGGUGACAGCCCCGUACACAAAAGCGCAUGUGCUGUGAGCUCGAUGAGUAGGGCGGGACACGUGGUAUCCUGUCUGAAUAUGGGGGGACCAUCCUCCAAGGCUAAAUACUCCUGACUGACCGAUAGUGAACCAGUACCGUGAGGGAAAGGCGAAAAGAACCCCGGCGAGGGGAGUGAAAAAGAACCUGAAACCGUGUACGUACAAGCAGUGGGAGCACAGGUUUACCUGUGUGACUGCGUACCUUUUGUAUAAUGGGUCAGCGACUUAUAUUCUGUAGCAAGGUUAACCGUAUAGGGGAGCCGGAGGGAAACCGAGUCUUAACCGGGCGUUAAGUUGCAGGGUAUAGACCCGAAACCCGGUGAUCUAGCCAUGGGCAGGUUGAAGGUUGGGUAACACUAACUGGAGGACCGAACCGACUAAUGUUGAAAAAUUAGCGGAUGACCUGUGGCUGGGGGUGAAAGGCCAAUCAAACCGGGAGAUAGCUGGUUCUCCCCGAAAGCUAUUUAGGUAGCGCCUCGUGAAUUCAUCUCCGGGGGUAGAGCACUGUUUCGGCUAGGGGGCCAUCCCGGCUUACCAACCCGAUGCAAACUGCGAAUACCGGAGAAUGUUAUCACGGGAGACACACGGCGGGUGCUAACGUCCGUCGUGAAGAGGGAAACAACCCAGACCGCCAGCUAAGGUCCCAAAGUCAUGGUUAAGUGGGAAACGAUGUGGGAAGGCCCAGACAGCCAGGAUGUUGGCUUAGAAGCAGCCAUCAUUUAAAGAAAGCGUAAUAGCUCACUGGUCGAGUCGGCCUGCGCGGAAGAUGUAACGGGGCUAAACCAUGCACCGAAGCUGCGGCAGCGACACUCAGGUGUUGUUGGGUAGGGGAGCGUUCUGUAAGCCUGUGAAGGUGGCCUGUGAGGGUUGCUGGAGGUAUCAGAAGUGCGAAUGCUGACAUAAGUAACGAUAAAGCGGGUGAAAAGCCCGCUCGCCGGAAGACCAAGGGUUCCUGUCCAACGUUAAUCGGGGCAGGGUGAGUCGACCCCUAAGGCGAGGCCGAAAGGCGUAGUCGAUGGGAAACGGGUUAAUAUUCCCGUACUUGGUGUUACUGCGAAGGGGGGACGGAGAAGGCUAUGUUGGCCGGGCGACGGUUGUCCCGGUUUAAGCGUGUAGGUGUGUGUUCCAGGUAAAUCCGGUUCACUUUAACACUGAGGCGUGACGACGAGGCACUACGGUGCUGAAGCAACAAAUGCCCUGCUUCCAGGAAAAGCCUCUAAGCAUCAGGUAACAUCAAAUCGUACCCCAAACCGACACAGGUGGUCAGGUAGAGAAUACCAAGGCGCUUGAGAGAACUCGGGUGAAGGAACUAGGCAAAAUGGUGCCGUAACUUCGGGAGAAGGCACGCUGACACGUAGGUGAAGUGAUUUACUCAUGGAGCUGAAGUCAGUCGAAGAUACCAGCUGGCUGCAACUGUUUAUUAAAAACACAGCACUGUGCAAACACGAAAGUGGACGUAUACGGUGUGACGCCUGCCCGGUGCCGGAAGGUUAAUUGAUGGGGUCAGCGCAAGCGAAGCUCCUGAUCGAAGCCCCGGUAAACGGCGGCCGUAACUAUAACGGUCCUAAGGUAGCGAAAUUCCUUGUCGGGUAAGUUCCGACCUGCACGAAUGGCGUAAUGAUGGCCAGGCUGUCUCCACCCGAGACUCAGUGAAAUUGAACUCGCUGUGAAGAUGCAGUGUACCCGCGGCAAGACGGAAAGACCCCGUGAACCUUUACUAUAGCUUGACACUGAACAUUGAGCCUUGAUGUGUAGG
This 2129-nucleotide ribosomal RNA is filed under the name Salmonella enterica. Its description in RNAcentral is "bacterial LSU rRNA". It matches the Rfam family "Bacterial large subunit ribosomal RNA", at positions 1 to 2142 of the family's 2925-position model. The record is from RNAcentral. Lineage: Bacteria; Pseudomonadati; Pseudomonadota; Gammaproteobacteria; Enterobacterales; Enterobacteriaceae.